CCAAUUUUCAUUCUUUUCAAAUAUUUCAAGGGAAACUCAAGACAAACCAUCAAUUGCUUAUCAACACAAAGAGAUUUUACUUUUGGUAAAGAGAAACACGAUCGUUAAGGAAGCUUAAGCGGAAAGCAUAAGAGUGUGGAGCACGCCAGCAUUUUCCAGAUAGGGUUACAACGAGGUCAUUCCGGACGAUUUGGAUUAGAAGUGGGUCGUUGGCCGAGUCCGUGUGUUGCUGUUCCUGUUGCUUGAAGUUCUUCCCUUUGGUACUCCAUUAAUUUACUCGUUUUUCAUUCCAUGUUGAACUCUGUGAGGUCCGCCUACCUGGGAGCGCGCCUCAC
Long non-coding RNA from Rosa chinensis, 335 nucleotides. RefSeq lists it as uncharacterized. The transcript has 3 exons. Lineage: Eukaryota; Viridiplantae; Streptophyta; Magnoliopsida; Rosales; Rosaceae. The record is from RefSeq and is a predicted model, not a curated record.